RNAcentral lists this ribosomal RNA (253 nucleotides) under uncultured bacterium. RNAcentral's name for it is "partial 16S ribosomal RNA". It matches the Rfam family "Bacterial small subunit ribosomal RNA", at positions 524 to 776 of the family's 1533-position model. The record is from RNAcentral.
UACGAACCGUCCAAACGUUAUUCGGAAUUACUGGGCUUAAAGAGUUCGUAGGCGGUUAGGAAAGUUGGGUGUGAAAGCCCUCGGCUCAACCGAGGAAUUGCGCUCAAAACUACCUGACUCGAGGAAGAUAGAGGUGAGCAGAACUGAUGGUGGAGCGGUGAAAUGCGUUGAUAUCAUCAGGAAUACCGGAGGCGAAGGCGGCUCACUGGGUCUUUUCUGACGCUGAGGAACGAAAGCUAGGGGAGCAAACGGG